GUGCCACCACCGCGACGCCAGGGGACGCGGGGACCCCCGUCGGCACGGCCCGCGCCAGCCCCACGGUGGGACACGUCACCGCGUCCCAAGGUGACACGGACACGGUGGCCAACGAUGGAGGCGUCUUCGUGGAGGGGACACGGGGACCCGGUGCCACCACCAUGGUUGGGGACACGGGGUCCCACGUCGCCACGGUCUACGGAGGGGACAUGACCGCGGCGGGAUGUGUCACCGCGUCCCGGGGAGGGGACGGGGACGCGGACAUGGUGGCCCGCGACAGCGUUGGCACCACGGAGGGACCCGGCGUCACCACAGUCCUCGCCGCCACCACGGUGUCCCCCGUCGCCGCGUCCCAGGGAGGUGACACGGACGCGGUGGCCAGCGAUGGAGGCGUCUUCACGGAGGGACCCGGUGCCACCACCAUGGUUGGGGACACGGGGACCCCCGUCACCAUGGUCUACGGAGGGGACAUGAACGUGGUGGCCAACGAUGGAGGCGUCUUCACGGAGGGGACGUGGGGACCCGGUGCCACCAUGGUGACCAGGGACAUGGGGACCAUCACCACAGUCCACGCCAGGCCCAUGGUGGGACGUGUCACCGCGUCCCGGGGAUGUGACAUGAACGUGGUGGCCAAUGAUGGAGGCGCCUUCAUGGAGGGGACGGAGGGACCCACCACGGUGCCAGGGGACAGGGGGACCCCCGUCACCACGGUCUACGCCAUGGACAGGGUGGCACGUGUCACCGCGUCCCGGGGAGGGGACACGAACGUGGUGGCCAACGAUGGAGGAACCUUCAUGGAGGGGACGCAGGGACCCGGUGCCACCACCAUGGUUGGGGACAUGGGGACCCCCGUCACCACGGUCUACGAAGGGGACACGGACACGGUGGCCAACGGUGGAGGCGCCUUCAUGGAGGGGACGGAGGGACCCACCACGGUGCCAGGGGACACGGGGACCCCCGUCACCAUGGUCUAUGGAGGGGACAUGGACGUGGUGACCAACGGUGGAGGUGUCCUCAUGGAGGGGACGCGGGGACUUGGUGCCACCACGGCGCCAGGGGACACGAGGAUCCCUGUCACCACAGUCCACACCAUGGACAUGGUGGGACGUGUCACUGCGUCCCGGGGCGGUGACAUGGACGUGGUGGCCAACGAUGAAGGCAUCUUCGCAGAGGGGACAGAGGGACCCGGUGCCACCACCAUGGCUGGGGACACGGGGACCCCCGUCACCACGGUCUAUAGAGGGGACAUGAACGCGGUGGCCAAUGAUGGAGGCGCCUUCAUGGAGGGGACGCGGGGACC
This 1300-nucleotide long non-coding RNA is filed under the name Apteryx haastii (Great spotted kiwi). Its description in RNAcentral is "lncRNA (ENSAHAG00000007789.1)". Lineage: Eukaryota; Metazoa; Chordata; Aves; Apterygiformes; Apterygidae. The record is from RNAcentral.